GACGAACGCUGGCGGCGUGCUUAACACAUGCAAGUCGAACGAUGAAGGGUAGUAUCGAAGCCUCGGCAGAAAUUAACUUCGAAUUAGUGGCAGACGGGUGAGUAACGCGUGAGCAACAUACCUCCUACAAAGGCAUAGCCUCGGGAACCCGGGAUUAAUACCACAUAACAUUGUGACUACGCCUUUCGAUGCAAUUAAAGGGACGGCGGCAGAGGAGGGCCUUGCGUCUGAGUAGCUAGUUGGUGAGGUACUGGCUCACAAUGGCGACGAUCAGUAGCUGGUCCGAGAGGAUGAUGAGCCAGACUGGGACUGAGAGACGGACCAGAGUCCUACGGGAGGCAGCAGUGGGGAAUUUUCCGCAAUGGGCGAAAGCCUGAGGGAGCAAUGCCGCGUGGAGGUAGAAGGAGCACGGGUAGUGAAAUUCUUUUCUCGGAGAAGAAACAAUGACGGUAUCUGAGGAAUAAGCAUCGGCUAACUCUGUG
Molecule: ribosomal RNA, 482 nt
Filed under: uncultured bacterium
Lineage: Bacteria
Description: partial 16S ribosomal RNA
Rfam family: Bacterial small subunit ribosomal RNA
Source: RNAcentral